Molecule: ribosomal RNA, 446 nt
Filed under: uncultured bacterium
Lineage: Bacteria
Description: partial 16S ribosomal RNA
Rfam family: Bacterial small subunit ribosomal RNA
Source: RNAcentral
CCUACGGGAGGCAGCAGUCGAGAAUCAUUCACAAUGGGGGAAACCCUGAUGGGGCGACGCCGCGUGGGGGAAUGAAGGUCUGCGGAUUGUAAACCCCUGUCAUGUGGGAGCAAAUUAAAAAGAUAGUACCACAAGAGGAAGAGACGGCUAACUCUGUGCCAGCAGCCGCGGUAAUACAGAGGUCUCAAGCGUUGUUCGGAAUCACUGGGCGUAAAGCGUGCGUAGGCUGUUGCGUAAGUCGUGUGUGAAAGGCGCGGGCUCAACCCGCGGACGGCACAUGAUACUGCGAGACUAGAGUAAUGGAGGGGGAACCGGAAUUCUCGGUGUAGCAGUGAAAUGCAUAGAUAUCGAGAGGAACACUCGUGGCGAAGGCGGGUUCCUGGACAUUGACUGACGCUGAGGCACGAAGGCCAGGGGAGCGAAAGGGAUUAGAUACCCGAGUAGUC